RNAcentral lists this long non-coding RNA (1344 nucleotides) under Homo sapiens (human). Its description in RNAcentral is "non-protein coding lnc-PCDH7-15:1". Lineage: Eukaryota; Metazoa; Chordata; Mammalia; Primates; Hominidae. The record is from RNAcentral.
AUGGGAGAGAAAAGUCUCAUGUCAACAUCGUUGUCAUUAGACACAUAGAUUCGAGCAUGUUCAUCACUUCUGACCAUCUGGUCUAAAACUGUGGUGGGAUUGACAAAAGAACCACUGAAAAUUUUGAUAAGGAGGCUGGUGAGUGGGAGAGGACUUCUUCAAGUAUGCUUGGCUGAGCAAGAACAGGGCAUCACCAUUGAUAUCUCCCUGCAGAAAUUUGAGACCAGAAAGUAUUACGUUACUAUCACUAAUGCCCAAGGACAUAAAGACUCCAUCAAAAACAUGAUUAUAGGAAUCUCAGGCAGACUGUGCUGUCCUAUUUGUUGCUGCUGGUGUUGGUGAUUUUAAGAUGGUAUCUCAAAGAAUUGAUGGACCUAUGAGCAUUCCCUUCUGACUUACACACUGGAUGUGAAAUAACUAAUUAUCAAUGUUAACAGCAUGGAUACUACUGAGCCACCCUACAGCCAGAAGAGACAUGAGGAAAUCAUUAAGGAAAUCAGCACUUACAUUACAAAAAUUGCCUAUAACACUGAAGCAGUACUAUAUGUGCCAAUUUCUGAUUGGAAUGGGACAAAAUGCUGGAGCCAAGUACUAACAUGUCUUGGUUCAAGGGAUAAAAAGUCACCUAUAAAUAUGGCAAUGCCAAUGGAACCAUGCUGCUUGAAGCUUUUUGUUGCAUCCUACCACCAACUUGCCCAACUGACAAGUGCUUUCAUCUACCCUUCCAGAGGUCUGCAAAGUCAAUGGUAUUGAGCCCUGUGCACUGAAUGGAGACAGUGUUCUCAAAUCCAGAACGGAUGUCACCUUUACUCCAGUCAACAUUACAACCAAAGUAAAGUCUGUUGAAAUGCACAAUGAAGCUUUGAGUAGAGCUCUUCCUGGGGAUAAUGUAGGCUUCAAGAAUGUGUCUAAGAUGUUUGUCAUGGCAACACUGCUGGUAACAACAAAAUGAUCCAUCAAUGGAAGCAGCUGGCUUCAUUGCUUAGAUGAUUUUCCUGGACCAUCCAAGCCAAAUCAGUGCUGGCUAUGCCCUUGUGAUGGAUCAUCACACAGCUUACAUUGCUUUCAAGUUUGCUGAGCUGAAGGUAAAGAUUGAUUGCUGUUCUAGUUAGAAGCUGGAAGAUGGCCCUAAAUUCCUGAAAUCAAGUGAUGCUACCACCAUUGAUAUGGUUCCUGUCAGGUGCAUGUUUGUUGAGAGCUACUCUGAUUGUCCUCUCUUGAAUCAUUUUGCUGUUUGCAAUGAGACAGACAGUUACUGAAGGAGUCAUCAAAGCAGUGGACAAGGAGCCUGCUGGAAAUGUCAAGGUCACUAAGUAUACCCAGAUACCUCAGAAGACUAAAUAA